AAGUCGUAACAAGGUUUCCGUAGGUGAACCUGCGGAAGGAUCAUUAACACGUAUCCAACGUUAAAACCCCCGUGAACCAAUGUCGUGCUCUCGUAGCCCAAGAGGAACAGCAAUCCCUGGUAAAGCAAGGUGUUGCUGCACUAUUUGAUUCAGGGACCUCUGUUAAGAAAGGCUAGUUACGAAUGUUGCGCUAGUUUCAGAGGCUUGGCUUCCCGAAACAGUGAGUGUCUGACAGUGGCACUCGCUGCGUAAGGAUAACGCUUUACGGUCGCUAGAGGUCGAUCACCGACCGGCGGGCAAGUCUCAGGGCUCACGCCCCUUAAUAACCCCACAGUUUCCACUUAGGCUCGCGAUAACACGCAGGCCCAAAAACCGAACAACUAUUAACAAUGGAUCUCUUGGCUCUC
This 407-nucleotide unclassified non-coding RNA is filed under the name fungal sp. Its description in RNAcentral is "partial internal transcribed spacer region". The stretch from base 1 to 46 matches the Rfam family "Eukaryotic small subunit ribosomal RNA", at positions 1786 to 1831 of the family's 1831-position model. Lineage: Eukaryota; Fungi. The record is from RNAcentral.